GGAACGAAUAGUGAGUUCCAGAAUGAAAAGCUCACAUGCCUUGGCAAACAAAAUGGGUGCUUCAGCGGAGAUCAUACGGACAUCUUCGUCAGCUUUCAUGAUCUUCUUGAUUCGGGCAAGGGGAAGUUGAUGGUUCUUAAAAUCGUUAACCUGUUCGAUUUCCUUGCGUUGGUAGGUCCAAAACACCUGUAACUGCUGCUGCUGUUGCUGAAGGAGAUGGUGGUAAGGUGGCUGAGUCGGGUACCCAGCGGACUGAGCCGCUGCAGCCGCCGCCGCUGCAUUCGCCGCCGAUUGCUGAGGGCUGUUUUCCAUGGCUUUUUAUGGACAAAGGGACAAUUUUUUU
This 343-nucleotide unclassified non-coding RNA is filed under the name Hevea brasiliensis (rubber tree). The record is from RNAcentral. Lineage: Eukaryota; Viridiplantae; Streptophyta; Magnoliopsida; Malpighiales; Euphorbiaceae.